AUACUGAGGCCUGCACUUUUGCUGGAGCUAUUGGAAAAGAGGUCCCUGGGUAUAAGAGCCACUUAAAUCUGGAGCGGGCUGAGCCCACCUGGUACCAUGAGAAGAAAAUCUGCCAGAUAUUGAAGUCAACACACAAGAAAGCAGAGCCAGGAGAUGGAGACAAGGCAAUAGCAUCCUCAAUAUAUUAAAUUCCAAAGCUGGCUGUUCCUGAAGAGAGACAAACAAGGAACAAAGAAACUCUCCACUGAAAUUUUCAAAUUUCAUUACGGAUAAUGCAAGGAAAAGGAGAAAACGUCAAAGGAACUAUAAUUUCAACACCCUUGUAGAGAAAAUAAUGUAUCUAUGGAGGAAAAUAAGUACAGGGUACUAUGAGGAAAUAAACAUUAGGAGAAUAGAAAAGAGACAUUGGGAAUUAAAAAUAUGAUGGCAAAAUAAGAAAUUCAGUGAAAAGUUUGGAAGACAAAAUUGAGGCAUUUCCUGGAAAGCAGAACAAAAGGCCAAAAAAAAAAAAAAAAAACACAAAGAACACUAAGAAAUAAAAACAGUCAGUUCAAAAUAUUUAAAUCUGAUUAAUAAAUGUUUUAAUUUCAAUUUUAAUUUUUUUGAUACAGUUUUGCUCCUGUCACCCAGGCUGGAGUGCAAUAGCGCAAUCUCAGCUCACCGCAACCUCUGCUUCCUGGGUUCAAGCGAUUCUCCUGCUUCAGCCUCCCAAGUAGCUGAGAUUACAGGCACCUGUCAUUACACCUGGCUAAUUUCUGUAUUUUUUAGUAGAGACAGAGUUUCACGUUUCACCAUGUUGGCCAGUCUGGUCGCAAACUCCUGACAUCAGGUGAUCCACCUCCCUCCACCUCCCAAAGUGCUGGGAUUACAGGCAUGAGCCAUUGCGCACGGCCCCUGAUUAUAAAAGUUUUAAAUAAGGAAAGGCAAUUAUUUAAAAAAUAAGAAAAUGCAGAUGCCCAGGGUUUGCUACUGGAGAGAUCUGAUUCAGAAGGUGUUAAAUUGCAUUUGGACUUUUAUGGCUAAACAAAACAAAUAUUUCAAGAGGGGUGAGGAGAAUGAGCUGACAGAUUCUCAGUAAUGCAGCCAAGGAUGUGAAGAGGCAGGUCCGGAGCUUGCUGGAAGGACCAACUGUGCACACUCACGUUGGCAAGCUCCGGAAUCCCAGCUGAGCCAAGGCCCUGGCUUUACUUUACCUGGGAGAAGAGAUCAGACCUCUACCCUCCGAAAUAGCUGACCAUUCAUCUGGCAAAUAAUGGAACACCCUGACUGAUUUCCUUGUGUUGGCUGUGUUAAAAUAGCUUAAUAAUCUCCAUGCAACAGAACUCCCUUGAGUAAAUGUGAGUUUCAGACCCAUCAGUGUUUGUGGCAAUUAUUCUGAACUGUUUUCCUUUAGCUAACCUGCUCGCAUUUCUAUCCUUCCC
This 1421-nucleotide long non-coding RNA is filed under the name Homo sapiens (human). Its description in RNAcentral is "HSALNT0018769". The record is from RNAcentral. Lineage: Eukaryota; Metazoa; Chordata; Mammalia; Primates; Hominidae.